RNAcentral lists this long non-coding RNA (881 nucleotides) under Vulpes vulpes (red fox). Its description in RNAcentral is "lncRNA (ENSVVUG00000003598.1)". Lineage: Eukaryota; Metazoa; Chordata; Mammalia; Carnivora; Canidae. The record is from RNAcentral.
AUGUCUCUUCUCUUUUUCCAAACUCCCCAGAUAUCUCAGGUCUGUGUUCUUGCUUGCCCCACCUAUGCCUCUCAGCCUACUCCUUUUUCUCACCUCUUUGCUGAAUUCUGCUCCACAGGAAACACAGUCCUUCCCAGCAGGUGCAUCACUCCAGCCGGACGAUGUCCCUUUCUUCUGCACUACAUUCCGAUUCUGCAAACAGAGUUUCAAGGACCAGCAGAGUGGCACAGAAUCCUUUUGGACAAGUGGAAAGGGACAAGGCUAUGAACAAAGCCAGGAACUGGGAUCCAAGGAGUAUUCCUUGCCCGAGGCCAGAAGGAGGAGAACUGCUGGGGUCUGUUUGUUCUUGCUUUCAGAAAUGAGCAGCACCCAAGAGCUUGAGGAGGAAGAGAUCUUUAUUUGUCGUCUUUCCAUGUCUUUUUUUCCUCCCUGGCCACUCCUGGAAAUGAGAAGUGUGUUUAGCUGCUGCCCUCAGGGAGAGCCCACCCUGGAGCCAAGGGUUUCAGCUCCCUGGCCAACAUGAGGCCAUCUCAGGCAGGCACGUUCCCUCUGGGAGCCUUCCCCUCUCUUUCUUAGUUUAUGAAAAGAAGGCAGGGGUGGUUUCUCAGGCCUCUCUCAACUCUGAAAUGUUAACAUUACCUAUUUAUGCCUCAAUAGUAGCAUAUUACCAACUUGGUAUGUGUGGCUGAAGGGGACAUGCCACCUCACAAUAUGCCUCUUUGGCACAAGAAUUGUUUUGAGCUGAAGGCAUAUGAGUUCUUGAAAUUACAAUUUGCCUAAAAGCACAGCCUCCCCCAAAGGUCCAGUGUCAUAGAGGCCCUCCCGGGACAGCUCUGAUCUUCCUUCUCAGACACCUUCUGGUCAGCACCACACACGGGUAC